CAUAUGGAGGCAACCCCCGGCAAAAUGUAGAGACUCCCCCUCGUAGAGUGUGGAGACUAUCCCUAGCAUAGUGUGGAGAAUACCCCACCGUAAUGUGGCGACGACAACGCGGAGCCAUCGGGGGCAGAAAUCAGUUGGUCCAAGAACUUGAAAGAAGACAAUUUUACCGGCACCGAGAGGAAGAGUCAAUGAAAUACAGCACCAAAAUGACAAGAUACAAAUCUCUCUGCCAACAUCAGACCAAGGAGAACGAAACAAAAAACUCGGAAUGCUUUUCUAUAAAAGUCUUAUGCCCUACUGGAAA
Ornithorhynchus anatinus (platypus) is the source of this 304-nucleotide long non-coding RNA. RefSeq lists it as uncharacterized. NCBI's taxonomy places the organism in Eukaryota, Metazoa, Chordata, Mammalia, Monotremata, Ornithorhynchidae. The transcript is spliced from 2 exons. The record is from RefSeq and is a predicted model, not a curated record.